UACGUAGGGGGCAAGCGUUGUCCGGAAUCAUUGGGCGUAAAGAGCGUGUAGGCGGCCAGAUAAGUCCGCUGUGAAAUCUCGAGGCUCAACUUCGAGCUGUCGGUGGAAACUGUCUGGCUAGAGUCCGGAAGAGGAGAAUGGAAUUCCUGGUGUAGCGGUGAAAUGCGCAGAUAUCAGGAAGAACACCCGUGGCGAAGGCGGUUCUCUGGGACGGUACUGACGCUGAGACGCGAAAGCUAGGGGAGCGAACGGG
Molecule: ribosomal RNA, 253 nt
Filed under: uncultured bacterium
Lineage: Bacteria
Description: partial 16S ribosomal RNA
Rfam family: Bacterial small subunit ribosomal RNA
Source: RNAcentral